AAAGUGGCCUAUGCAACAGCCAUGGACUGGUUCAUUGCAGUCUGCUAUGCUUUU
Non-coding RNA from Xenopus laevis (African clawed frog), 54 nucleotides. NCBI's taxonomy places the organism in Eukaryota, Metazoa, Chordata, Amphibia, Anura, Pipidae. The record is from Rfam.